UCCCUCACAAGACUCGUUCCUUCUUCUGGCCGGUAUAGUUGCAUUUGCAGCCAUGGCCGGUUAUGCUUUGUCUUUAGGAAUUUUACAAAUUUCAACAGAAAGUGGUGAUUCUUAUCCGCACGAGAUCAUCGAUGAUGAUGAUGAA
Ctenocephalides felis (cat flea) is the source of this 145-nucleotide long non-coding RNA. RefSeq lists it as uncharacterized. The transcript has 2 exons. The record is from RefSeq and is a predicted model, not a curated record. NCBI's taxonomy places the organism in Eukaryota, Metazoa, Arthropoda, Insecta, Siphonaptera, Pulicidae.